Molecule: ribosomal RNA, 381 nt
Filed under: uncultured soil bacterium
Lineage: Bacteria
Description: bacterial SSU rRNA
Rfam family: Bacterial small subunit ribosomal RNA
Source: RNAcentral
AGAUUGAACGCUGGCGGCAUGCCUAACACAUGCAAGUCGAACGGGAGUAGCAAUACUCUAGUGGCGGACGGGUGAGGAAUACGUAGGAAUUUGCCCUUAAGUGGGGGAUAACCCGGGGAAACCCGGAUUAAUACCGCAUGACCUCGAAAGAGCAAAGUGGGGGAUCGCAAGACCUCACGCUUUUGGAGAAGCCUACGUCGGAUUAGCUAGUUGGUGAGGUAAUGGCUCACCAAGGCGACGAUCCGUAACUGGUCUGAGAGGAUGAUCAGUCACACCGGAACUGAGACACGGUCCGGACUCCGUACGGGACGGCAGCGAGGUCGGGGAAUAGUGGACAAGUGGGCGCAAGCCUGAUCCAGCAAUGGCCGUCUGUGUAGAAGA